GAAAAGGCCGGGAUGACGCAAGCAGUCCUUUAAAUGCAUAAUAGUAUCCGUUAACUUCUUAGGUGCAUUCAUUUCCUAACAUGCGGUUAUCAAAUUUGCUCAUGCCUUAACCAUUAACCAAGCUAUUGUUGAUGUUGAGUCCAGGCAAGUGGUUAGUUGUUUGGCAUUCUGGCAACCCAUUCCUAGAACACCCGAUCAAAAAACAAGCUGAAAAUGAUCGGCCAUCCGAUACUAGUAUUGUGGACCCGGCAAAAGAGGUAGAGGUGAUGGAUGUAAAUACAAUGAGGGAAGAAAUGCAUAAGUUGAGGAAGCAAAUGGAUGAAAUGCAUCAGGCUUGGUCUAGGGGUCAGCCUACGCUAGUUUAUCCCGCUAAUCCGACCUACAUCCCACCUUUAACUCAGUCUCAGGAGCCUCAUACUGGGAUUCAUCUCAGAUUUCCCGUUCUACAAACAGAGUUAUGGUACCACCUCAUACCCUCCUCAAGUUCCACCACCCCUAAAAACCCUCAUUCACCAAUCACUAGUCUUUGUGGCACCUCCACCUGCCACACUGCAAAGAUCUUCCAGUGAUCUACUGUUUCAAACUCACGACAAUCAGUCUUACCCUCCUGAGCCUACCUUUAAGGUUCUUGAGGCAUAUUCUUAUAACCCUCACUUUGAGCUCCUAGAGGAAACUGAAAAGCCACUUAAGAACCCAGAGUAGGAAGAGAUAAUUCGAAAAAUAAAAAGCCGGGAGCAGUCCUUUCGGAAUAUGCAUGGAUUGGGCAAUCAGGUCAGUGUGGCCUAUAAAGAUCUGUGAAUGUUCCCCGAUGUUCAGCUACCUGCGGGGUUCAAAAUGCCAAAGUUUGAUCCGUAUGAUGGUCACGACAAUCCAGUGCACACUUGCGAGGUUUCUGUACUAAGAUGAGAGGGGUCGGUGGGAAAGAUGAACUGUUUAUGGCAUACUAUGGGCAGAGUUUGAAUGGGUCUGCACUAGAAUGGUAUACACGGCAAGAUCCUAGCAGGUGGUAUACGUGGGAUGAUCUAGCAUAAGCUUUUGCUGGCCACUUCCAGUAUAAUCUUUAGAUCGUCCCAGACCGGCUGUCAUUGAUAAAACUCGAAAAGAAACCCGGGGAAAGCUUCAGGGAAUACGGGUUCCACUGGAGAGAACAUGCUGCAAGGGUUGACCCCCUAAUGAAGGAAGUGAAAUGGUGGAUUGCUUUUUGCAGAAUUUGGGGCCAACUUACUUUGGUCACCUGGUGACGGCAAUUGGCAAAUCUUUUAACGAAGUGGUGAAGAUGGGAGCUAUGGUCGAGGAAGGAUUGAAAUCCGAUAAAAUCAUGAGCUAUUCAGCAAUUAAAGCAACCACUCAGUUCAUCCAAAGCGGCACUAGGGUGUGUUGGGAAAGAAGAAGAAUGAAGAGUUUGGAACAGUCGAAGUCGGAGCUAUAAGCUAUUCAGUUAUUAAAGUAACUAUCCAGGCCAUACAAAGUGGCACUAGGGGUGUUUUGGGAAAGAGGAAGAAAGAAGAGGUGGCAACAGUCAAAUCCGGAGCUUGGUCCAGAUCUAACGGCCCUUCACCCUACUACCAACCUAGAUCCCACCAACCAAAUUUCCCAUACACCAUAUAUGGUCCUCCAUAAUACUACUAUCCACCGCCAAAACCCUAAAUGCUCC
This 1654-nucleotide long non-coding RNA is filed under the name Nicotiana benthamiana. Its description in RNAcentral is "long non-coding RNA (NBEN_LNC005340)". Lineage: Eukaryota; Viridiplantae; Streptophyta; Magnoliopsida; Solanales; Solanaceae. The record is from RNAcentral.